Molecule: ribosomal RNA, 468 nt
Filed under: uncultured bacterium
Lineage: Bacteria
Description: partial 16S ribosomal RNA
Rfam family: Bacterial small subunit ribosomal RNA
Source: RNAcentral
GACGAACGCUGGCGGCGUGCUUAACACAUGCAAGUCGAACGGAAAGGCCCUGCUUUUGUGGGGUGCUCGAGUGGCGAACGGGUGAGUAACACGUGAGUAACCUGCCCUUGACUUUGGGAUAACUUCAGGAAACUGGGGCUAAUACCGGAUAGGAGCUCCUGCUGCAUGGUGGGGGUUGGAAAGUUUCGGCGGUUGGGGAUGGACUCGCAGCUUAUCAGCUUGUUGGUGGGGUAGUGGCUUACCAAGGCUUUGACGGGUAGCCGGCCUGAGAGGGUGACCGGCCACAUUGGGACUGAGAUACGGCCCAGACUCCUACGGGAGGCAGCAGUGGGGAAUAUUGCACAAUGGGCGGAAGCCUGAUGCAGCAACGCCGCGUGCGGGACGACGGCCUUCGGGUUGUAAACCGCUUUCGCCUGUGACGAAGCGUGAGUGACGGUAAUGGGUAAAGAAGCACCGGCUAACUACGUG